ACUCAAAUGAAUAGACGGGGGCCCGCACAAGCGGUGGAGCAUGUGGUUUAAUUCGACGCAACGCGCAGAACCUUACCAGGGUUUGACAUCCUGUGCUACGUGCAGAGAUGCACGGUCCCCGCAAGGGGCGCAGAGACAGGUGCUGCAUGGCUGUCGUCAGCUCGUGUCGUGAGAUGUUGGGUUAAGUCCCGCAACGAGCGCAACCCUCGCCUUUAGUUGCCAUCAUUUAGUUGGGCACUCUAGAGGGACCGCCGGCGACAAGCCGGAGGAAGGUGGGGAUGACGUCAAGUCCUCAUGGCCCUUACACCCUGGGCUACACACGUGCUACAAUGGCGGUGACAGUGGGCAGCGACCACGCGAGUGGAUGCGAAUCCCAAAAAACCGUCCCAGUUCAGAUUGCACUCUGCAACUCGGGUGCAUGAAGGUGGAAUCGCUAGUAAUCGCAGAACAGCAGGCUGCGGUGAAUACGUUCCCGGGCCUUGCACACACCGCCCGU
This 496-nucleotide ribosomal RNA is filed under the name uncultured bacterium. Its description in RNAcentral is "partial 16S ribosomal RNA". It matches the Rfam family "Bacterial small subunit ribosomal RNA", at positions 899 to 1397 of the family's 1533-position model. The record is from RNAcentral.